CCUACGGGAGGCAGCAGUGGGGAAUUUUGGACAAUGGGCGAAAGCCUGAUCCAGCAAUGCCGCGUGUGGGAAGAAGGCCUUCGGGUUGUAAACCACUUUUGUACGGAACGAAACGGCUCGCUUUAAUACAGUGGGCUAAUGACGGUACCGUAAGAAUAAGCACCGGCUAACUACGUGCCAGCAGCCGCGGUAAUACGUAGGGUGCGAGCGUUAAUCGGAAUUACUGGGCGUAAAGCGUGCGCAGGCGGUUAUAUAAGACAGUUGUGAAAUCCCCGGGCUCAACCUGGGAAUUGCAUCUGUGACUGUAUAGCUAGAGUACGGUAGAGGGGGAUGGAAUUCCGCGUGUAGCAGUGAAAUGCGUAGAUAUGCGGAGGAACACCGAUGGCGAAGGCAAUCCCCUGGACCUGUACUGACGCUCAUGCACGAAAGCGUGGGGAGCAAACAGGAUUAGAUACCCUGGUAGCCCACGCCCUAAACGAUGUCAACUGGUUGUUGGGUGCAUUAGUACUCAGUAACGAAGCUAACGCGUGAAGUUGAUCGCCGUGGGAGGUACGGCCGCGAGGUUAGUAAACGUUAAAGGUAAAGUUAGACGGCGUGAGACGUGCCGACGGACGACGACGAGGGAGGAGG
This 630-nucleotide ribosomal RNA is filed under the name uncultured bacterium. RNAcentral's name for it is "bacterial SSU rRNA". The stretch from base 1 to 542 matches the Rfam family "Bacterial small subunit ribosomal RNA", at positions 338 to 873 of the family's 1533-position model. The record is from RNAcentral.